This 1848-nucleotide long non-coding RNA is filed under the name Mus caroli (Ryukyu mouse). RNAcentral's name for it is "RIKEN cDNA 9330111N05 gene (MGP_CAROLIEiJ_G0004981.1)". The record is from RNAcentral. Lineage: Eukaryota; Metazoa; Chordata; Mammalia; Rodentia; Muridae.
AGCAGUGGAAUGGAGUCAACCAGAGUGCAUAGCUAAGCGAUGUGACCCAAGCCAUUUGGAGAAGCCCAGAAAUUGGAACAAGAAGCUGUCAUGUUGAAGUUGUCUUGGAGACCCCAAGAUGUAGGAGGUGCCAGGGUUGUGGUAUACCUGCUGAGGAAAGCUGCUAACAGCGAGUGGAACCAUCCAAAGAGAACUGUGCUGCAGUCAACAAAGCAGAAAGGAGUUGGACAUUAGACAUGGAGGCGAUGAGUUUGGAGUUUGUCCAGCUGAAUUUUGAUCUUGCUUUGGUCCGGUAUUUCCUCACUAUGAAGUUUUGAAAUGGUAAUGUAUAUCAUGUGAUGUUGGAGCUUGGACCCCCAAGUGGAACAUGCCUCCAUUGUUUGUGAGUUCUGUCUCAGCUCAGAGUGGAUGAGCACACAGUCCCAGGGGAGCAAGGAUGUGUGCAGCAGAAACUAGUGUUAGCCACUCUUGUUCAUCUAGGUGGAUCAUCUCCAGAGACUGAAGAUAUCAGCAGAGCCUAGGAUAUCUGGGUGGCUCCUUCUCCUUCUGCUCCCAGCCCCAAAUCUAACCCUUCAAUAAAGUAGCAGAAGGAAACUGCCACAGGAAGCCUAGCUUGAGCAUAUAUGAGAUCUCAAAGCCCGCCUUCACAGUGACACACUUCCUCCACCAAGACUACACCGACUCCAACAAGGCCACACCUCCAAAUAUCACCAUUCCCAUGUGCCAAGCAUUCUAACACAUAUGUCUGUGGGGAAUAUUCCUAUUCAAACCACCACCCAUUCUCUUGACCUCUUGGUCUGUGGCUCCUCUCUUGUUCUGCUUGCCCCUCCUUAUCUUCCUCUCUUACCCAUCUCUCCAUGACCCAGUUCAGUCUGAACUCUGUCAGUUGUCUCUGGCUAUUUUCCCCCUCAUAUCUAUGAUAAAACCAUCUCCUCAACCAUAUCUAGAAGUGGCCAUGUCCUCAUUUUUCAUUUACAGACAAGUUUCGUUUUGUUCUUGAGAGCAAAGACAGUUCAGUAUGGUUGGAACUGGAGAGAAGUUAAAUGUAGGAAAGAUGGAGGAAGGAGAGUAGAUGAGGCUGGAGACAGAGGCAGGGAGGACUCAAAUGCAGUGGCCAAGGCUGGGGAAAGGUGGGUUUCAGGAGUGCAUAGCUGAGGUCAAACUGGAUUAGGUAUAACAUGGGGUUGGAAGUAGAAUGUUUGAGUGAGAAUUCAUGAAGAGAAAGAACAAUACUUACAAGUUCAAAAUAAGGAGAUUAAAGGACACAGAUAAGUCCUAUUUUGUACCUGUUGGGUUUGAGUUGUCUUUAUUGUAAUAUCCAUCAAGGAUGUGCAACCAUGCAUAAAGAUCUGGACCAGAGAUUUGAAGUUUAGGGAUCAUAAAUUUGUUGGUGUUGCUCUGGGAUAGACUUUUGUAAGAAGAGAAUUAAACACAACAAGCAAAACCCAAAGCUAUAUAGGGAUAGUGACAUAAAAAUUAUCUAGAAUUCUUAGGCAUACUUGUGAGGAGCCAAAAGUUAGGUAAAAAGUAAUAUAAUUUAUGAUUUUGAAAAUUACCUGUAGCCUCCCCCAGCCUUGAGCAGGCUGGCUCAGACCUGUUCUGCCACUGUGAAUGAGACCACCUAGGGUGGAGUCUUCCGACCUAGAUAGGUCUAUUGUUCUGCCACCUGUGCUCCUCUCCAAGAUGCUGGUACUUCUGAGAGGCUGAAACCUGUCUUCCUGAGAUAAGCAACACCCUGGACCAAGUGCUAACAGGCUGUAGACAAAGUAUCAAGAGCCUGGCGUGGCGGAGAUGGGCCUUCCCCCUUUAUAAGCUUAGACUCUUAAGUAAACAUUGUGCCUUGAUCAG